AUUUCCUACUAUAGGAGGCAGACUCCAAAAUGACCCCAAUGACCUUGCUUUCUGGGUGUUCAUGCCCUUGUAUAAUCCCUUCCCACUGAGUGAGGGCUGAAUGACAGAUUUCCAACAACCAGAAUACAACAAAAGUAAUGGAAUGCCACUUCUCAGAUUAGUUGAAAAAAAAAGACUGUGAUUUGUGCCUCUUUUGUCCUCUUGCUCUCUCUCUCUCAGCCCUCACUAUUGGGAAGCAAGUUGCCAUCUUAUGAGCAGGGAGAGGCCCACAUCCCAAGGAGCUGAUGUUUCUGGCCAACAGCCAGUGAGGACCUGAGGCCUGCCAGGUCACAUGAGGGAGCCUGGAAGUGGGUCUUCUCAGUCCUGCCAACAGCUGUGAGUGAGCAUGGACGCAGAUCCUCUCCCAGUGGAGCAUUUGGAUGACCACGGCUCUGGCUAACACCUCACUUACAGCCUUGGGAGAGAUUCUGAGUCAGAGGCAUCCAGCUAAAUUGACCCACAGACACGGUAAAUCAGGGAUUUCUUCUUGGUUUGGAUCCACUGUUGAUUUUAGGUUACAAAAAGAUGGCAGAUUGCAUCUUGGGCACUCUCUUGUAUGACUUUUUGGAGAAGCCAGUUUUCAUGUUGUGAGAGGCCUGGCAGAGGGGCCCAAAUGAGUUCGCUGGGAAGCGGAUCACAGAAACCAUGAGGCCUAUAAAAGCCCCAGGCUCAGCCAGAGCAGAGCAGAUGAUGGAUGACCAGCUGCAGAGAAGAGCUACCCUUUCUGCUGACAGCAGAAGAUGUCCCAACAACCAGCAGAAGAGAGAAGCUAUCCAUUCUAGGGCCUCUUCUCUGCUGAGAGCUUCAGAAACCUGCAGAGACAUCGAGACUACCAGCUGCAGAGUGGAACAAUCCACUCCAGGGCCACCUCUCUGCUGAGAGCUAAGAAGACAAUGAGAUGACCUGCCUGCUAGGAGGAGCUUCCCUCUCCAGGGUCUCCUUUCUGCUAGGAGCUGAACUCUCAUUGGAACAUCCUGGCUGUGGAAAGGAGCUACCCUCUGCAGGUCUCCUGUGUGCUGUUCUAUUGAUCAAUAAAGCUCCCCUUCAUCUCGCUCAUCCUCCACUUGGCUCUGUACCUCAUGCUUCCUAGUUGCAGGACAAGAACUCGGGACCUACCAAAUGGCAGAGCUAAAAGAGCUAUAACACAGGACUGAAACAUGCCCCCUGCUUGCCACAUUGAGGGCAAAGAGAAGGAGAUAAGAUCUGUGCCUUCUCAGGCAGCCCAGACCUGGGAGCUCCCUGAGCCAGGGCUGUGACUCCCUCUUUGGGGUCCUGUGGUGCCUAGUAUCUCCAAGCUUCCAGGUGCCACUGCAUUUCCCGGUGCCAGCUGGGGAAGCUUCCUGCAGUGCACCUGGUCUGGCCACAGCCUCACAGAGAGUCAGUGCCUGUGCCAGCACCUGUAACUGCCCGCCCCAUUGCAGCAGCCGGCAUGUCCGAUUGCACACUGGCUGAACCCCAUGCUCCCUCACACACCCCUUGCCACUCCAUGCCUGACUUACCCUUGGCAGGUAUGGGAUCCAGGCCAGUAGUGUCAGCCAAGUAAAGCCUGCCAGGCCAGGUAGGCAGAACAAACCCAGCGGGCCUAAGCAAGACUUGGGCAAAGACAUCACCAGCCAGAAAAACAAUAUCCCAAGAAUCUUGUGACACUAGGCAUAGUGAAGUUCUUUAUUAAUUUGUAGAUUUUUAACCUGGAAAAUUCUAAUAUUUUCAACUAUUAAAAAAGAUAAUCCCCAAAAUAAUGCUUUAUUGUCAUGUAAAAUAUUAAAUAGAUUGUAUGUAACUUAGCUAUAUUAUUCUAAGAUAAAAUUCAUUAACUUGUCUUUAAGAAACUAGUUCCUAAAAUGCACUUUGAACUGUAUUUAUAAUCUCACUAGUCCUCUACUUAAUUAGGAAGUGGAAUAAAAUAUUUGAUAUAUUUUCUUUUUAUAUUUACAAAAGUCACCAUUUAAAUUCUUUGAAUUUUAACAUGUUAUACUUUUGGAGGAUCCACUGAGACACUAAAGUGGGUUCAUAAAGCCAACCAAACUGUGAUAGCACAGAAAUGUACUUCAGGAGCUGUUUAGGAGGAGAGACUUUUCUUUCUCCUCAAAGUGAUUCUCAAAUAGCAAUAGAGUCCUGGUGCAGUGGCUCAUGCCUACAAUCGAGCACUUUGGGAGGCCAAGGUGGGAGAAUUGUUUGAGCCCAGGAGUUCAAGAUCAGCAUAGGCAACAUAGCGAGACCUCAUCUCUACAAAAAAUACAGAAAUUAGCCAGGUGUGCCGGCAUGUGCUGUGUUUUUUGUCCAGCUACUUGGGAGGCUGAAGUGGAGGGAUUUCUUGAAACUGGGAGGUCAAGACUGAAGUAAGCCAUGAUCCUGCCACUAUACUCCUACAUGGGGGAAAGAGCAAGACUCUGUCUCAAAAAAAAAAAAAAAAAAAGAAAAAAAGAAAAAAAAGGCAAUAGAACUGUACCUUUGCUGUGAUGCUAGUCUACUACAAGUUGGCUUUUUUCUUUAAAUUUUGAAUUUUUCAUUUUCUUUUCUAGUUCUUCACCAUUUUGGUUCUGGAUAUAGUUUCCACUAGAAGAUGAUAAUGAUGAUAAUGAUAAUCCCCAUGCAUGCAUUAAUAAUUGGGAAUGUAAUUUUAUAAUCUGAACUUUAAAGACCUCUGUUAAGAUUAAAGGGAUUUCUUGUCCUUCAUAUGAGACAUGACAAGGAAUGAGAGUUGCAUUUUUUAAAUUCUUUGUUUCUCUAUUUGUGUAUCCAAAUAAUUUCAUAAAACAUUUUAUAACUACUAGAAGGGAAAAUAAUCCUUUGAAAUCUUGAACAGUGUAUUUUGGUGUUUCCUUGAUUACUUAAUCUGUUGCAGAGAUUGUUAUAAUUAAAGCUACAAUUUUCUCUGUGUUGCUAUAACUCAGAAGUCAUUCUCUCUCAUUCUGUAUGAAGUAUUUUCCUAAGAAGAGUAUUAAUAAAUAAAAUUUAGAAGUCUCUGAAUUUUAAGGAGCUAAGAUAUAAUUGGUUUACAUAGUAUAAGAAGUUCAUGAAUCUAUAGUAAUAUCUAAAGAAAACUUCAAAUGUACUAGUAAUUUAGGGAAAAAAUUCUUCUUAAAGGAUCUGCUAGCAGCUUAGAAAGAUUUUAAUUUACGAAUCUAAAUUCAUGCAAUAAAAGUGAAUCUUUGUAGACUAUGUGUUAAGCCACAAGACAAGCCUCAACAAAUUUUUAAAAAAUGAAAUCACAUCAACU
This 3259-nucleotide long non-coding RNA is filed under the name Homo sapiens (human). RNAcentral describes it as "HSALNT0125799". The record is from RNAcentral. Lineage: Eukaryota; Metazoa; Chordata; Mammalia; Primates; Hominidae.